ACGCUGGCGGUAGGCUUAACACAUGCAAGUCGUGCGAGAAAGUAUCUUCGGAUAUGAGUAAAGCGGCGGACGGGUGAGUAACGCGUAGGAAUCUACCUAGUAGAAGGGGAUAGCCCGGGGAAACUCGGAUUAAUACCGUAUACCUCCUUUGGGAGAAAGAGGGCCUCUCUUUGAAGCUUUCGCUAUUAGAUGAGCCUGCGUAAGAUUAGCUUGUUGGUGGGGUAAAGGCUCACCAAGGCGACGAUCUUUAGCGGGUCUGAGAGGACGAUCCGCCACAUUGGGACUGAGACACGGCCCAGACUCCUACGGGAGGCAGCAGUGGGGAAUAUUGGACAAUGGGCGCAAGCCUGAUCCAGCCAUACCGCGUGUGUGAAGAAGGCCCUAGGGUUGUAAAGCACUUUAAGUUGGGAAGAAAAGUUAUUGGUUAAUACCCAAUAACCGUGACAUUACCAUCAGAAUAAGGACCGGCUAAUUCCGUGCCAGCAGCCGCGGUAAUACGGAAGGUCCAAGCGUUAAUCGGAAUUACUGGGCGUAAAGCGCGCGUAGGUGGUUUAUUAAGUUGGAUGUGAAAUCCCCGGGCUCAACCUGGGAACUGCAUCCAAAACUGAUUCACUAGAGUACGAUAGAGGGAGGUAGAAUUCACAGUGUAGCGGUGGAAUGCGUAGAUAUUGUGAAGAAUACCAAUGGCGAAGGCAGCCUCCUGGAUCUGUACUGACACUGAGGUGCGAAAGCGUGGGUAGCGAACAGGAUUAGAUACCCUGGUAGUCCACGCCGUAAACGAUGUCAACUAGCUGUUGGAAAACUAUGUUUUUCAGUGGCGCAGCUAACGUAGUAAGUUGACCGCCUGGGGAGUACGGCCGCA
RNAcentral lists this ribosomal RNA (862 nucleotides) under uncultured Gammaproteobacteria bacterium. RNAcentral describes it as "bacterial SSU rRNA". It matches the Rfam family "Bacterial small subunit ribosomal RNA", at positions 33 to 890 of the family's 1533-position model. The record is from RNAcentral. Lineage: Bacteria; Pseudomonadati; Pseudomonadota; Gammaproteobacteria.